GACGAACGCUGGCGGCGUGCUUAACACAUGCAAGUCGAACGAAGAGCGAUGGAAGCUUGCUUCUCUCAAUCUUAGUGGCGAACGGGUGAGUAACGCGUAAUCAACCUGCCCUUCAGAGGGGGACAACAGUUGGAAACGACUGCUAAUACCGCAUACGAUCUGACCUCGGCAUCGAGGAUAGAUGAAAGGUGGCCUCUACAUGUAAUCUAUCACUGAAGGAGGGGAUUGCGGCUGAUUAGCUAGGUGGAGGGGUAACGGCCCACCAAGGCGAUGAUCAGUAGCCGGUCCGAGAGGAUGAACGGCCAAAUUGGGAAUUGGACACGGCCCAGACUUCUUCGGGAGGCAGCAGGUGGGAAUCUUCCGACAUUGAGGAAAGGCUUACGGAGCAACGCCGCGGGGGGGAUGACGGCCCUCGGGUUGGAAAGCUCUGUUAAUCGGGACGAAAGGCCUUUUUGCGAAUAGCGAGAAGGAUUGACGGUACCGGAAUAGAAAGCCACGGCUAACUACGUG
This 510-nucleotide ribosomal RNA is filed under the name uncultured bacterium. Its description in RNAcentral is "partial 16S ribosomal RNA". It matches the Rfam family "Bacterial small subunit ribosomal RNA", at positions 28 to 507 of the family's 1533-position model. The record is from RNAcentral.